Long non-coding RNA from Tupaia belangeri chinensis (Chinese tree shrew), 385 nucleotides. RefSeq lists it as uncharacterized. NCBI's taxonomy places the organism in Eukaryota, Metazoa, Chordata, Mammalia, Scandentia, Tupaiidae. The transcript is spliced from 3 exons. The record is from RefSeq and is a predicted model, not a curated record.
UAAAUAUUUUCAGGCUGCUGAAAAAUCUGGAAGAAGAUGUUGUUAGUUCUCUUGGAAGACUACUGGAGUUCUCCCUUCCGCAUAUACUAGGAAAGCCAAGGCCACAGUGCCUGGUGUAUAGCCACGAAUGCUAACUGGAUGGAUGGAUGGGGAGACAGAUAAAUGGCCGCACUAACCGAGGCAGACAGACCCCACGUCACCCAUCCGGUAAGUGACAGCUGGUUUCAAACGCAGCCCUGGACCCAGAGCUCACGUCCUAAACCACGGCACUUACUGCCGGCCGAUCUCACCCUGAGUGGACAGAUCUCACUCGUGGCUGGACUCAUGGCCUUCCCCAGUAACCAGGAUGGAUUCAUUAGCCAAACUACUCUCAGUCCUCCCAAUC